GUGAUUGUAAUCUCGCUCUUUCCAUAUCAUUAUCGGCCUUAAUCAUUGUGUAUUAUUGUGGUUGACCAUCAAUGGCCAUCAAAACGAAUAAGGAAACAUUUGCAAAUUUUUCCAAUCAUCGAUAAUGGAAUGAAAAAUAUGGAUUUAUCAUUCAUCAAUUUACUAAGGAACGGUUAAUAUUGAAGUGAUGAAAUGUCUGAUCAAAACGAUAAUAAUAAUUUCAAUGAUAAUCGGCAAGAUCGAAAACUUAUCUCGUGUUCAUCACUAUCACUUCCGGAUAAAAUUUUAUCCACUUCAAAUCUUCCAAAUAAUGGAUCUCGAUCUUCAUGGUCUUCAUCAUCAUCGACUAGACGUUCAGAACCGUCUAAAAAAAUUCUUCAACCAUUAUCAUCAUCAUC
This is a non-coding RNA of Dermatophagoides farinae (American house dust mite), 398 nucleotides long. NCBI's taxonomy places the organism in Eukaryota, Metazoa, Arthropoda, Arachnida, Sarcoptiformes, Pyroglyphidae. The record is from RefSeq and is a predicted model, not a curated record.